UACGAAGGGGGCUAGCGUUACUCGGAUUGACUGGGCGUAAAGGGCGCGUAGGCGGUUUGUACAGUCAGACGUGAAAUUCCUGGGCUCAACCUGGGGGCUGCGUUUGAUACGUGCAGACUUGAGUUCGGAAGAGGGUCGUGGAAUUCCCAGUGUAGAGGUGAAAUUCGUAGAUAUUGGGAAGAACACCGGUGGCGAAGGCGGCGACCUGGUCCGAUACUGACGCUGAGGCGCGAAAGCCAGGGGAGCAAACGGG
RNAcentral lists this ribosomal RNA (253 nucleotides) under uncultured bacterium. RNAcentral's name for it is "partial 16S ribosomal RNA". It matches the Rfam family "Bacterial small subunit ribosomal RNA", at positions 524 to 776 of the family's 1533-position model. The record is from RNAcentral.